CCCGUGGGCUGCCUGCGUCCA
RNAcentral lists this non-coding RNA (21 nucleotides) under Arabidopsis thaliana (thale cress). The record is from RNAcentral. Lineage: Eukaryota; Viridiplantae; Streptophyta; Magnoliopsida; Brassicales; Brassicaceae.